GGGGGGGGGGGGGGGGGGGGGGGGGGGGGGCGGGGGGGGCGGGGGCGGGGUGAGGGCUGGGUGGUACGGGUGGCGGGUGGCGGGCGGGUGGGGGGUAGGUCGGGAUCUACUUUUUCGGGGGGGCGGACGGAGGGCAACUUACGCUACUACCGCAUACGACCUCCGGGUGAAAGCCGGGGAUCUUCGGACCUUGCGCGAUUGCAUGAGCCGAUGUGGGAUUAGCUAGGUGGCGGGGUACAGGCCCACCAAGGCGACGAUCCGUAGCUGGGCUGAGAGGAGGAUCAGCCACACUGGAACUGAGACACGGUCCAGACUCCUACGGGAGGCAGCAGUGGGGAAUAUUGGACAAUGGGCGCAAGCCUGAUCCAGCCAUACCGCGUGGGUGAAGAAGGCCUUCGGGUUGUAAAGCCCUUUUGUUGGGAAAGAAAAGCAGCAGGUUAAUACCCCGCUGUUCUGACGGUACCCAAAGAAUAAGCACCGGCUAACUUCGUG
RNAcentral lists this ribosomal RNA (492 nucleotides) under uncultured bacterium. RNAcentral's name for it is "partial 16S ribosomal RNA". The stretch from base 61 to 492 matches the Rfam family "Bacterial small subunit ribosomal RNA", at positions 39 to 507 of the family's 1533-position model. The record is from RNAcentral.